Callorhinchus milii (elephant shark) is the source of this 73-nucleotide non-coding RNA. Lineage: Eukaryota; Metazoa; Chordata; Chondrichthyes; Chimaeriformes; Callorhinchidae. The record is from the annotation of a RefSeq genome assembly.
CGUCCUGUAGCUCAGUGGUUAGAGCGCUCGCCUCGAAAGUGAGAGGACCUGGAUUCAAUUCCCAGGCGGGCGA